RNAcentral lists this ribosomal RNA (453 nucleotides) under uncultured bacterium. RNAcentral describes it as "bacterial SSU rRNA". It matches the Rfam family "Bacterial small subunit ribosomal RNA", at positions 340 to 783 of the family's 1533-position model. The record is from RNAcentral.
UACGGAAGGCAGCAGUGGGGAAUAUUGCACAAUGGGCGAAAGCCUGAUGCAGCUAUGCCGCGUGUAUGAAGAAGGCCUUAGGGUUGUAAAGUACUUUCAUCGGGGAGGAAAAAACAAAACUAAUAAUUUUAUUUCUUGACGUUACCCGAAAAAGAAGCACCGGCUAACUCCGUGCCAGCAGCCGCGGUAAUACGGAGGGUGCUAGCGUUAAUCAGAAUUACUGGGCGUAAAGAGCACGUAGGUGGUUUUUUUAAGUCAGAUGUGAAAUCCCUGGGCUUAACCUAGGAACUGCAUUUUGAAACUGAAAUACUAGAGUAUCGUAGAGGGAGGUAGAAUUCUAGGUGUAGCGGUGAAAUGCGUAGAUAUCUGGAGGAAUACCUGUGGCGAAAGCGGCCUCCUAAACGAAUACUGACACUGAGGUGCGAAAGCGUGGGGAGCAAACAGGGAUUAGAC